UUGAUCCUGGCUCAGGAUGAACGCUAGCGGCGCGCUUAACGCAUGCAAGUCGAGCGAUGAGGCUCCCUUCGGGGAGUACAUCAGCGGCAGACGGGUGAGUAACACGUAGAUAACCUGCCCUCAAGACGGGGACAACCGGUGGAAACAGCGGCUAAUACCCGAUAUGCUCACAGGAUCGGGAGAUCGAGUGAGGAAAGGCUUUGGUGCUUGAGGAGGGAUCUGCGGCCCAUCAGCUAGUUGGUGAGGUAACGGCUCACCAAGGCGAAGACGGGUAGGGGGUGUGAGAGCAUGGCCCCCCACAAUGGGACUGAGACACGGCCCAUACUCCUACGGGAGGCAGCAGCGGGGAAUAUUGCGCAAUGGACGGAAGUCAGACGCAGCGACGCCGCGUGGGUGAGGAAGGCCUUCGGGUUGUAAAGCCCUUUUCAGGGGAGCGAGAAAGGACGGUACCCUUGGAAUAAGCGUCGGCUAACUACGUGCCAGCAGCCGCGGUAAGACGUAGGACGCAAGCGUUAUCCGGAUUUACUGGGCGUAAAGCGCCUGUAGGCGGUCAAGUAAGUCGGAUGUGAAAGCCCCGCUGCUCAACGCGGGUGAAGCCAUUCGANUACUGCNGCUGACUAGAGAACGG
This 628-nucleotide ribosomal RNA is filed under the name uncultured organism. RNAcentral's name for it is "bacterial SSU rRNA". It matches the Rfam family "Bacterial small subunit ribosomal RNA", at positions 13 to 651 of the family's 1533-position model. The record is from RNAcentral.